GAUGAACGCUGGCGGCGUGCCUAAUACAUGCAAGUCGAGCGAACAGACGAGGAGCUUGCUCCUCUGACGUUAGCGGCGGACGGGUGAGUAACACGUGGAUAACCUACCUAUAAGACUGGGAUAACUUCGGGAAACCGGAGCUAAUACCGGAUAAUAUAUUGAACCGCACGGUUCAAUAGUGAAAGACGGUUUUGCUGUCACUUAUAGAUGGAUCCGCGCCGCAUUAGCUAGUUGGUAAGGUAACGGCUUACCAAGGCAACGAUGCGUAUCCGACCUGAGAGGGUGAUCGGCCACACUGGAACUGAGACACGGUCCAGACUCCUACGGGAGGCAGCAGUAGGGAAUCUUCCGCAAUGGGCGAAAGCUUGACGGAGCAACGCCGCGUGAGUGAUGAAGGUCUUCGGAUCGUAAAACUCUGUUAUUAGGGAAGAACAAAUGUGUAAGUAACUAUGCACGUCUUGACGGUACCUAAUCAGAAAGCCACGGCUAACUACGUG
RNAcentral lists this ribosomal RNA (497 nucleotides) under uncultured bacterium. RNAcentral's name for it is "partial 16S ribosomal RNA". It matches the Rfam family "Bacterial small subunit ribosomal RNA", at positions 28 to 507 of the family's 1533-position model. The record is from RNAcentral.